Molecule: long non-coding RNA, 231 nt
Organism: Sinocyclocheilus anshuiensis
Lineage: Eukaryota; Metazoa; Chordata; Actinopteri; Cypriniformes; Cyprinidae
Exons: 3
Source: RefSeq, a predicted model, not a curated record
UCAUCCUGUCUGUUAAGGAUCUCCAUGUGACUGUCCUUCAGACGGAGAUAGGUGAAGCCCAACCUGAACAGCGGUUAUUCACAAACAACAAACUCACCUUUCCAUCUAGGCCUGGAGAGGAGUCGAUCAUAUCCAUUCCAGCAGCUCCAGUGCCAGUCUUGUCUGUGAAGACAUAUUCCACCUGUGAUGGAAAAAGAAGAGAGACAGUGAACCAAUAAUGACCCAGGGAGC